CACUUCAUGACUGAGAGCUGCAGCUCCAUAACUUCACCCACAGCAACCAUGACUUUGAUCCGCGUCUUCAUCUGCACACUGGCCCUCUGGACUCAAGGAUCCAGAGGUCAGGUGACUGUGACUCAGACUCCUUCAGUGCAAACUGUUGUUCCAGGAAACACAGUCACCAUCAACUGUAGAUUCAGCACUGCUGUUUAUCAUGACUGUGGGCCAACUGGUGUAUCAUAUGACUGUCUAGCCUGGUACCUUCAGAAACCUGGAGAAGCUCCUAAACUCCUAGUGCACUAUGUGAGUCACCUGUUCUCAGGCACUCCAACUCGUUUCAGCGGCAGUGGAUCUAAGACUGACUUCACUCUGACCAUCAGUGGAGUCCAGGCUGAAGAUGCAGGAGAUUACUACUGUCAGAGUUACCAUAGUGGUGAUGUGUUCACACAGCGUUAGAGCGCCGUACAAAAACCUCGGUCAGUGAAAGUGCACAGAGAAGCUCUGCUGCAGCUGGGAGCGACUGCAGGUGCUGAGGGGGAGGAAGUGAUACAGCACAAUGACACACACUGUGGACGAGAGAAAGCACACACACACUAACUCACCAAUGCACACACACAUCUGUGAGAGGAGUCCACCUUCCUCAGCUGUGGAUCAGUUUUAACUGAUCAUAUUAGUGAUAGUGGAUAUGAGAUAGAAUUUCAUCUUAAACUCAAUGAAGUCCAGCUUGAAGAUGCAGGAGAUCAGUACAGUGAGCACACACACACACACACACAUACACACUAAUCUAAACCACAUAAAGUCCUACACGUACACAAUCUUGACUGUUUCCAUAUCAGAGGAGUUAGAAACAGCUUGUCUAUAACCCACUCCUGAAACAUGAUCUGCUAACAGUCCAUUUCUAACAGCCAUUCUGGGAUUUUUAUGUUAAUCUGGGUAUCAUCUAUCAUGUGGAAUGCUAACCAAAACAAUGAUGUUUUAUAUCUUCUCACAUCUCAAGUUUAAUAAUUGUAUCAGAAGCACAUGUAACGUCUAAGCUAUACCCAGUAACUCAUGGCCCGGCCCAGUCACUGCCCUUCCAAUUCAUCCACGUUAAUCUCCUGUUGUUGGAUGAUGUUCCUUCAGCCACCGUUAACUAUAAUGAUGCAAUGAGGAACUCAGAAAGACAUUUCAGUCUAAUUCACAGCUAAAAUGAUCUCUCUUAGUGACUAGUCCUGAUCUUAAACAUUACCAACACUGUACUGGACUGUAAAUCCUAAAAUCCCUGACUCACAGUGAGAGUGCUGUUCUGUUCUGAAAUGGAACAUAUUCGCCCAGGAAGGUGAAAUAUGGAUUAUUAUUUUAAUACUGGUUAUUAAUUUCAAUAUGUAUAUUUCUUUAGUACUGUGAAUUCCAGAGCUAUGUAUCACUGAUAAAAGGUGUGCAUGUUAAUUCAAAGUCAAAACCAUGAAUAAUGCUACGUUGCUAUAGUGAUCAUUGUGCAGCAGGUAAACCGCAUUGGAGACAAACAUGACUAUUACAUUUAUCACACACACCGACAGUUUGUCUACUUUGUUAUCAGGUUGUCUUCAUAAAAUCUGUUAUUUUGAUCUAAAUAUCAUUUUUUAAAUCUUCCCUUAAGUAAGAUGUCAUAUGUGUUAUGUUAAAAGUGUAUUUUAUUGUGCCGGAGUGCUCAAGGUUAAUAUUAAA
Non-coding RNA from Ictalurus punctatus (channel catfish), 1671 nucleotides. The record is from the annotation of a RefSeq genome assembly. NCBI's taxonomy places the organism in Eukaryota, Metazoa, Chordata, Actinopteri, Siluriformes, Ictaluridae.